This 75-nucleotide transfer RNA is filed under the name bacterium. Its description in RNAcentral is "tRNA-Val". It matches the Rfam family "tRNA". From Rfam's summary of the family: Transfer RNA (tRNA) molecules are approximately 80 nucleotides in length. Their secondary structure includes four short double-helical elements and three loops (D, anti-codon, and T loops). Further hydrogen bonds mediate the characteristic L-shaped molecular structure. tRNAs have two regions of fundamental functional importance: the anti-codon, which is responsible for specific mRNA codon recognition, and the 3' end, to which the tRNAs corresponding amino acid is attached (by aminoacyl-tRNA synthetases). tRNAs cope with the degeneracy of the genetic code in two manners: having more than one tRNA (with a specific anti-codon) for a particular amino acid; and 'wobble' base-pairing, i.e. permitting non-standard base-pairing at the 3rd anti-codon position. The record is from RNAcentral.
GGGCGCUUAGCUCAGUUGGUUCAGAGCACUUCCCUUACAAGGAAGGGGUCGGCGGUUCGAGUCCGCCAGCGCCCA